RNAcentral lists this RNase P RNA (334 nucleotides) under Acholeplasmataceae bacterium. RNAcentral describes it as "RNase P RNA component class B". It matches the Rfam family "Bacterial RNase P class B". Rfam says of the family: Ribonuclease P (RNase P) is a ubiquitous endoribonuclease, found in archaea, bacteria and eukarya as well as chloroplasts and mitochondria. Its best characterised activity is the generation of mature 5'-ends of tRNAs by cleaving the 5'-leader elements of precursor-tRNAs. Lineage: Bacteria; Bacillati; Mycoplasmatota; Mollicutes; Acholeplasmatales; Acholeplasmataceae. The record is from RNAcentral.
GUAUUCGGGUAAUCGAGCGGAGCGAUCCGUUAGGAAAGUCCUUGCUAGCACAUGCUGAGAUGCUGUAGUGUUUAUGCCUAAUUAAACAAUAAGUUAGGACACUUGGGAAAGUGAUGGCGAAAACAACCCUGUAAAAUGGCGAGUUUUCUUAACGUGCCACAGUGACGAAUUCCUUAGGAAACUUUGGAAAUGAAACGAGGUAAACCCCAUAAGCUAGAAACCCAAAUUAUGGUAGGGGAAUCUUAAACGGGAAAUGAACCGGUUUAAGGCUAUCGUAAGAUAGAGAUAAAUGAUUACCACUUCCUUCGGGAAGUACAGAACAAGGCUUACAGAA